RNAcentral lists this non-coding RNA (256 nucleotides) under unclassified sequences. RNAcentral's name for it is "raiA RNA". It matches the Rfam family "raiA RNA". The record is from Rfam by way of RNAcentral.
CUCUUCCAGGUCUGUGGUUGCGGAGGCACCGAUCUGCCUCCUAGUCCAUGACAGACGAGGUCAAAGGGAUCCACGUAAGCCAGCGUGUGGGCAUGCUGGCGAUCAUGGCUCGUCCUAGAAGCAAGUCGCACUGCCUGAUCGGCUUUGGGGCAAAGAGCCCCACAGGCAAGAGGGCUUUGAGUGGGGGUGCCUGAGCAUCCGAAGCGGAGGCCCCGGUGCGCGGGUGUGGGGCCAAAGACCAGGUCAGCUGGAAGAG